GAUGAACGCUGACAGAAUGCUCAACACAUGCAAGUCAACUUGAACUUCGGUUUGGGUGGCGGACGGGUGAGUAACGCGUAAAGAACUUGCCUCACAGCUAGGGACAACAUUUGGAAACGAAUGCUAAUACCUGAUAUUAUGAUUAUAUGGCAUCGUAUAAUUAUGAAAGCUAUAUGCGCUGUGAGAGAGCUUUGCGUCCCAUUAGCUAGUUGGAGAGGUAACAGCUCACCAAGGCGAUGAUGGGUAGCCGGCCUGAGAGGGUGAUCGGCCACAAGGGGACUGAGACACGGCCCUUACUCCUACGGGAGGCAGCAGUGGAGAAUAUUGGACAGUGGACCGAGAGUCUGAUCCAGCAAUUCUGUGUGCACGAUGAAGUUUUUCGGAAUGUAAAGUGCUUUCAGUUGGGAAGAAAAAAAUGACGGUACCAACAGAAGAAGUGACGGCUAAAUACGUG
Molecule: ribosomal RNA, 454 nt
Filed under: uncultured bacterium
Lineage: Bacteria
Description: partial 16S ribosomal RNA
Rfam family: Bacterial small subunit ribosomal RNA
Source: RNAcentral